RNAcentral lists this ribosomal RNA (251 nucleotides) under uncultured prokaryote. RNAcentral describes it as "partial 16S rRNA". It matches the Rfam family "Bacterial small subunit ribosomal RNA", at positions 525 to 775 of the family's 1533-position model. The record is from RNAcentral.
ACGUAGGGAGCAAGCGUUAUCCGGAUUUAUUGGGUGUAAAGGGUGCGUAGGCGGGACGGCAAGUUGAAUGUGAAAUACCGGGGAUCAACUCCGGGGCUGCGUUAAAAACUGUUUUACUUGAGUACAGCAUAGUCAAGCGGAAUUCCCAGUGUAGCUGUAAUAUGCGUAGAUAUUGGGAGGAACACCGGUGGCGAAGGCGGCUUGCUGGGCUGCAUCUGACGCUGAAUCACGAAAGUGUGGGGAGCAAAUAG